Variovorax paradoxus S110 is the source of this 55-nucleotide non-coding RNA. The record is from Rfam. Lineage: Bacteria; Pseudomonadati; Pseudomonadota; Betaproteobacteria; Burkholderiales; Comamonadaceae.
CCGGGAAAACAGCCUCCCGGCCUGCAUAACCAGACGGUGUCCCGUCCAAGCGCUG